Molecule: long non-coding RNA, 1476 nt
Organism: Cryptomeria japonica (Japanese cedar)
Lineage: Eukaryota; Viridiplantae; Streptophyta; Pinopsida; Cupressales; Cupressaceae
Exons: 6
Source: RefSeq, a predicted model, not a curated record
UCUCUGCUCGACCGACGGUAGGAGCAUAACUUUUCUGCAACUCUUGCUAUCAUUGUAUUCCAUGAUCUAAGACUACAUCUCUUUGAGGUUCUCAGUCCAUAAUCAUCAUUUGGUAAUUCCUUGUUUCACGGCGUACGUUAUCAAUGGCGCGAUCGCGGGAAGGAAUGGAGGGGUUCUAUUUAACCUGCAAAACCUGCCCAUAUUUUCCCAUCCGGCUAGCGGAGGCAGGAGCUAUGGGGGAAGCAGGAACCGGGAGCAGAGGUGGGGAUGCAAUAGAACAAGUAGCAAUUGGUCCUGAAGCCAUAGCCCAAUCUGGGUCGAACCCAUUUUUUCAAGGGGUUUAGAGAUCAAUGCCAUAGCCCAAGGGCCCUCCUUCCAGAUUCAUCUGCACCUGGAAAUCCUCACCUCACAAUGUAGUAGUUCAGCUUCACAUGGCCAGGACAAUGCAACUGUGAAUGUAGAAAUCUCUAGGUCUUCUGAAACCCUAGCCACAUAGUACACUGCAGAAUGUGGUCAUGGAUGCUACCAAUUCUUGUAUGGGGGAUCCUCCGAUCUUAAAUGGUUUGAUUGAUAUGUAAAAAAAUGGACAAGGGCAACAAAUUACUAUGAUGGUGCAUGAGGUAAGCUUGAAAUUUGUCCUUUGUAUGCUAAAUUAUCUUAUGUUCCCUAUUAUACUAUGCUAAUUUGUGUUUGUGGAAUGUAGGCCAUCUUGAAAGUAACUCCAUCGAGCAUGAAUCUUAUUGGCAUAAAGGAUCUAGUUGUGCCCUCUACUACAUCUAUAGUUUUACCAGACGAUAUUUCAAGGAUUACUCCAACAAACACUAGUGUUCUUGAUGUGGGUUCAGUCAAAAUUCUCCCGCCAAUGACCGAACAAGUUUCCUUGAGGAGUCUCAUAGAUUCACAAUCAAGAAUACUAAGGCUCCUAUCAGAUACUCCUGAAAAUUUUCCAAUCAGACAAGAAAUACUUGUACAAAUUUAGUUAUGGGAAAGGGCAUUGUUGGAGAGUGCAGAGCCUAGCUCAGUUGAACAAGUUCACCAAUUUCAAAAGGAAGCUUCAGAGGAGGACCUAAAAUAUUCUUUAUUACAUGGUUCCAAGGCCUACGACAACAUUUGGUAGAUCGAGGGGAGAUUCUAGUGAGUGGUCAUGAUUCUGAGAGGAAGCCCAACAAUCAAACUUAUCAGGUAGUGAGCAUGAAGAGGAGCUAGAGGAUCAUGAUGAAUUGUUUGUUUCACAUAAUGAUUUGAUUGUCAUUCCUGAAACUCGAUAGGAAACCAUCCUUGAAUUUCAACAAGUGGGAGACAACAAUAUUGAGGAGGGUGUUCAAUUUGAUGAACUAUCCAUACCCACAAUUAGAAAAGUGCCUCGUAAAAAGAGGACACAAAGCAAGAGGAUGUUAUUGUUCAAUUUCCAUUGCUACUAUAAACCUAAUUUAUAUAUCAUCAUAUUUUUUUAAUUAAUACUUGUGAAUUUAUUUA